This 245-nucleotide ribosomal RNA is filed under the name uncultured prokaryote. Its description in RNAcentral is "partial 16S ribosomal RNA". It matches the Rfam family "Bacterial small subunit ribosomal RNA", at positions 524 to 768 of the family's 1533-position model. The record is from RNAcentral.
UACGGAGGAUGCAAGCGUUAUCCAGAUUUAUUGGGUUUAAAGGGUGCGUAGGCGGCCGAGUAAGUCAGCGGUGAAAUUUUGCAGCUUAACUGUAACAGUGCCGUUGAUACUGCAUGGCUAGGAUUUGGUUGCUGUGGGUGGAAUGUGUGGUGUAGCGGUGAAGCGCUUAGAUAUCACACAGAAUAUCGAUUGCGAAGGCAGCUCACAAAGCCAAGAUUGUCGCUGAGGCACGAAAGUGUGGGGAU